RNAcentral lists this ribosomal RNA (487 nucleotides) under uncultured bacterium. RNAcentral's name for it is "bacterial SSU rRNA". It matches the Rfam family "Bacterial small subunit ribosomal RNA", at positions 30 to 517 of the family's 1533-position model. The record is from RNAcentral.
AUUGAACGCUGGCGGCAUGCCUUACACAUGCAAGUCGAACGGUAACGGGCCUUCGGGUGCCGACGAGUGGCGAACGGGUGAGUAAUGCAUCGGAACGGUACCUUUCAGUGGGGGAUAACGUAGCGAAAGUUACGCUAAUACCGCAUAUUCUGUGAGCAGGAAAGCAGGGGAUCGCAAGACCUUGCGCUGAUUGAGCGGCCGAUGUCAGAUUAGCUAGUUGGUGAGGUAAAGGCUCACCAAGGCGACGAUCUGUAGCGGGUCUGAGAGGAUGAUCCGCCACACUGGAACUGAGACACGGUCCAGACUCCUACGGGAGGCAGCAGUGGGGAAUAUUGGACAAUGGCCGCAAGGCUGAUCCAGCCAUGCCGCGUGCAGGAAGACGGACCUAUGGUUUGUAAACUGCUUUUGAACGGGAGAAACCCCCCUACGUNUAGGGGGCUGAUAGUACUGUUAGAAUAAGCAUCGGCUAACUUCGUGCCAGCAGCCG